This 939-nucleotide ribosomal RNA is filed under the name Viridibacillus arenosi. RNAcentral describes it as "bacterial SSU rRNA". It matches the Rfam family "Bacterial small subunit ribosomal RNA", at positions 97 to 990 of the family's 1533-position model. The record is from RNAcentral. Lineage: Bacteria; Bacillati; Bacillota; Bacilli; Caryophanales; Caryophanaceae.
GGCGGAUGGAUGAUCAAACUUAAGAAACCUGCCUAGUAGAUUGGGAUAACUCCGGGAAACCGGGGCUAAUACCGAAUAAUCCUUUUUGUCACAUGGCAAAAUGCUGAAAGGCGGUUUCGGCUGUCACUACUAGAUGGGCCCGCGGUGCAUUAGCUAGUUGGUGGGGUAACGGCCUACCAAGGCAACGAUGCAUAGCCGACCUGAGAGGGUGAUCGGCCACAUUGGGACUGAGACACGGCCCAAACUCCUACGGGAGGCAGCAGUAGGGAAUCUUCCACAAUGGACGAAAGUCUGAUGGAGCAACGCCGCGUGAGUGAUGAAGGUUUUCGGAUCGUAAAACUCUGUUGUAAGGGAAGAACAAGUACGUUAGUAACUGAACGUACCUUGACGGUACCUUAUUAAAAAGCCACGGCUAACUACGUGCCAACAGCCGCGGUAAUACGUAGGUGGCAAGCGUUGUCCGGAUUUAUUGGGCGUAAAGCGCGCGCAAGUGGUUUCUUAAGUCUGAUGUGAAAGCCCACGGCUCAACCGUGGAAGGUCAUUGGAAACUGGGAGACUUGAGUGCAGAAGAAGAAAGUGGAAUUCCAAGUGUAGCGGUGAAAUGCGUAGAGAUUUGGAAGAACACCAGUGGCGAAGGCGACUUUCUGGUCUGUAACUGACACUGAAGCGCCGAAAGCGUGGGGGAGCAAACAGGGAUUAGAUACCCUGGGUAGUCCACGCCCGUAAACGAUGAGUGCUAAGUGUUUAGGGGGUUUCCGUCCCCUUAGUGCUGCAGCUUAACGCAUUUAAGCACUCCCGCCUGGGGGAGUACGGGCCGCCACGGUUGAAAACUCAAAAGGGAAUUGAACGGGGGGCCCCCCCCAAGCCGUUGGAACCAUGUUGGUUUUAAUUUCCGAAGCCACCCCCGAAAAAACCUUUACCCAGGUUCUUGGACAUCCC